This is a long non-coding RNA of Rhagoletis pomonella (apple maggot), 1297 nucleotides long. RefSeq lists it as uncharacterized. The record is from RefSeq and is a predicted model, not a curated record. The transcript has 3 exons. NCBI's taxonomy places the organism in Eukaryota, Metazoa, Arthropoda, Insecta, Diptera, Tephritidae.
CACAACAGUGAAAAUAAAGUUAAAUAACACAAAGGUUACCUGUUUUUUUAGAUUCGCCCAUAUAUAUGUAAGUGCAUAGUCAAACUUGCGAUUUACCUAUCUACCCUACUGGCUAAGUGGCGCACAUAUCUAUAUAUAAGUGACCGCUGAAACACAAUGCCGACGAACGACGAACUUUUCGCUGCGAAUGUUCGCUGUAAAAAUUAAAACACACUGUCGUAUAUGAGAACGACGACUUUCGUCCGACGACUGUUCGCAACGAUAGACAUAUUUCUAUCGUCGUCGCUAGCGGCAACGGCAAAAUACGAUCCAUUGUGGCCAAAUGCUAAAUAUUCUCAGGUUUUUAAAUCGAAAAGGAAAAAUAAUGUAUUAGUUUUUGUUAAAAAUUAAUAAUCUUACUGUUCGUAAAAAUUUUAUUUUAGUAAAAACUAUUUUCUAACAUUUCCUGUUCUUGUUGAACCAUUUAUUUGUUAUUAUAUUCCUUUUGUGUUCUCAAAGUUUUCUUUUUUACGUUUGGUCACCCUAUCAGCUGAUAUGUGUACAAACUGUUUUUGUGGAAGAAAGUAAACAUUGCGGCGAACGAACUUAAAUUCUUGUUAUUAUUGCAAACAAAAUGGAUAUUAAUGAAAUAUUAAUAGAAGAAGUUAGAAACAUGAAUGUUUGUACGACUUAUCGAGCAAUGAAUACAAAAACGUGUUUAAAAAGGCAGUGAUUUGGGAAGAAAUCGGCAAAUCUGUUUCUUUACCGGCGGUGGAGAGGACUUCGCGACACCUACAAAAGGCGAAAGCGCACUUCGCAACUUAGCUCCGGCAGCGGCGCACCGAGUCCUACAAAAAAGUGGAAAUAUUUGCAGACGUUGAGUUCUUUAGACAAUUACAAGGAUUCGAGGCCAACUGUUGGAAGUGUCCUCCCCGAAGAAAGGGAGCUUGACUUUUUGUUAAAUUGCUCCUCAUCAACAAGUCUCACAGAGAAUCAAAGCUCACCAACAACACCAAUAAUAGAUGAAGGAGAACACCAAAGAAAAGAGCCGCUACCGAGGAAACCAUCAAAGAAGCAAGCAGAUGCAGAGGUCAUGCAAGUUUUUACGGAAGUGGUGCAGGAAUGUGCGGUUACAGUGAAAGAGCUCGCAUCUGCUGCAAUAUCAAGUGACCAAGAGCGUGAUGCGACAUCUUUAUUAUUUGAAAGCUUGGCAAAAAAAAUAAGUGGCGCUGAUUUGCGCAGGGCGAUGUAAGGCGAAUAGAAGCAAAAGUAAUUGCUUUGGUUUAUGAUGAGCUAGCCAACAUUAGCAAUAAGUGAA